GUUAAAUUUGCAAAAGAGGUUUGAUGGCUGUUCUGUUAUGACUGUGUGGUAGCUCAUUAAAGCUGGGUCUCAAGAAAAGGGUGCAAACUGCAGGCAAACGGAACCUGCAGUUUACAUCAUGUAGAAGUCAGAGCCCCUGGAAUGCAUCUACAAAUUGAAGACUUUGUCAUUCAAGUGACCUAAAUUACAGGGACUUGAACUUGCAGCUCCUGCUCUUCCUGUGAGUGACCUAACCACCUAAUAUUGGCUAUUCUGGACCUGUGAAACCUUCCCGAUGAAAGUUUUUUUCAUCAAAACUGAUACAUUUCUGUGAAAACUUUUUAUGACUCAGCAUCGGGUUACUAGCUGCAGUUAUUGUCUUUGCCUGAUAGCUUGCAGAUCAGGUUCUCUUGGUGGAAUUAAAUGAUAAAGUGCAACUUCUGCAAAUGAUAGGAGGUUCUGAGCUGUCUGUUUUACACGUAGGUGCGUACUCCAAUGUGUAAUGAAUCCCAUAGACUAGCAACUUUCCCAAAUACACUAGCUCACCAAAUCAUAAUCCAAGUGAUUCAAUGUAGAGUAGUAGGAAGUACAGAGAACUUGAAGGUGUAAAAUAUAUACAAAUGAUCUUGUAAUGGCUUCCACUUGCCAUUGUUCCAGGAGUUUGCCUGUCAGAGUAAAUUUAAAAAAAAGGUCCUUAUUCCACUUGUGACACCCUGUCGGAUAGAUCUUUAGGCAGUAUAGAGAGUGCAUUAGAUCACAGGAAGGAAACAUAAAGCAGUUCUGAAGCACAUUGCCAAACCUCAGAACUUUUAACAUAAGAAAUUGAAAUAGCUUUUCAUACAGUAAAAUGGAAUUCUCAGCAUCACUAGAGAUGAAGGAGGGAUGCUUUUGCUAUAGUCUUAACUGAAUCAAGUUAAUGAGGUUACAAAGAGAAUGCUGCGGUAAUAUACACUCUGAGGCAGAUUAAUACAUCUUUUAGUGACACUUUAACAUGCAUACCAAAGUUUUGAUGUCAACAUUUAUGAACAAAAUAGGUCAGUAAAAUUUGCAGAUUUGAAAACCUAUGCCCAUAUUAGCUCUCAGGAAGUUUCUAUUUCUGGUGCAUAACUGAAUGUGCUGCAUUAGCAUAUUGACUGAAUUCAAUACAUGUGCCAUCAAGUAAAAUGAAAAGUUGAGGGAGAAAAAAAAAACUAAGAAACCAUUUGAACCCGAGACUUUGCUAAGGGAUGCUAUUUUAAAGGUCAAUGUUGGAACCAAAAAAUGCAUCUCCUUUGUGAUGUAUAAAGACAACCUAAAUAUUUGAGCAGUUUUGUUUUCCUGAUUGUUUUACUUUUGAAAUAUUAAGUCCUCACUUUACUCUUUUCUGUAGAACCUCAACAACAUAUUUGGAGGACUUGAAUAGUAAUAUAACCUGAACAGCACCUCUUCCUUUCACAGCUGCAUAGGGAGAAGGUUCUGAUUUCUAAACAGUUUUAGCCUUGGGUGAUGUGCCUUCAGGUUCCCCAUAGUUUCCAGUGUCCUGCAGUAAAGUGAAGACUUGCUAUUACUAAUGUAAAACAAAUCAAGCAGAAUUAAAACAAACAAACAAACAAACUUUUAAACAUCGUAAAGAAGUAGUAUGACCAGAAAAUUAGUUUGUUUUUAUUUUUGCAUUGCCACUCAUCUUUGACAAUGUUAAUUCUGAUUCACUUGUAAGGCAACAGUUUUAAUCUCUAAAGAAGUUACAGGUCUGACUUCUAGGCUAAAACCUCACCCUUAGAAAGGAGGCUGCUGAAGUCAUUUCUUGCCUUUGGAGUGAUUCACU
Long non-coding RNA from Mauremys reevesii (Reeves's turtle), 1783 nucleotides. RefSeq lists it as uncharacterized. The record is from RefSeq and is a predicted model, not a curated record. NCBI's taxonomy places the organism in Eukaryota, Metazoa, Chordata, Testudines, Geoemydidae. The transcript has 3 exons.